RNAcentral lists this ribosomal RNA (301 nucleotides) under uncultured bacterium. RNAcentral describes it as "partial 16S ribosomal RNA". It matches the Rfam family "Bacterial small subunit ribosomal RNA", at positions 509 to 807 of the family's 1533-position model. The record is from RNAcentral.
CAGCCGCCGCGGUAAAACGGAGGGUGCAAGCGUUAAUCGGAGUUACUGGGCGUAAAGCGUGCGUAGGCGGUUCGUUAAGUCUGUUGUGAAAGCCCCGGGCUCAACCUGGGAAUGGCAAUGGAUACUGGCGAGCUAGAGUGUGUCAGAGGAUGGUGGAAUUCCCGGUGUAGCGGUGAAAUGCGUAGAGAUCGGGAGGAACAUCAGUGGCGAAGGCGGCCAUCUGGGACAACACUGACGCUGAGGCACGAAAGCGUGGGGAGCAAACAGGAUUAGAUACCCCCGUAGUCCCUGUCUCUUAUAC